GACAGAGGCCUCAAGCGUUUAGGCGGAAUCACUGGGCUUAAAGCGUGUGUAGGCGGAUCGUUAAGUGUCUUGUGAAAUCCCACGGCUCACCCGUGGAACUGCUGGGCAUACUGGCGAUCUUGGGCCAACUAGGGGCAACUGGAACAAGCGGUGGAGCGGUGAAAUGCGUAGAUAAUCGCUUGGAACGCCAAAGGGUGAAAACAGGUUGC
Molecule: ribosomal RNA, 209 nt
Filed under: uncultured bacterium
Lineage: Bacteria
Description: partial 16S ribosomal RNA
Rfam family: Bacterial small subunit ribosomal RNA
Source: RNAcentral